ACGCUCGACACCUACGGGAGGCAGCAGUGGGGAAUAUUGCACAAUGGGGGAAACCCUGAUGCAGCGACGCCGCGUGAGCGAAGAAGUAUUUCGGUAUGUAAAGCUCUAUCAGCAGGGAAGAAACUGACGGUACCUGACUAAGAAGCACCGGCUAAAUACGUGCCACAGCCGCGGUAAUCUGAGCGGCUGGCAAGGC
Molecule: ribosomal RNA, 196 nt
Filed under: uncultured bacterium
Lineage: Bacteria
Description: partial 16S ribosomal RNA
Rfam family: Bacterial small subunit ribosomal RNA
Source: RNAcentral